RNAcentral lists this ribosomal RNA (383 nucleotides) under uncultured bacterium. RNAcentral describes it as "bacterial SSU rRNA". It matches the Rfam family "Bacterial small subunit ribosomal RNA", at positions 28 to 416 of the family's 1533-position model. The record is from RNAcentral.
GACGAACGCUGGCGGCGUGCUUAACACAUGCAAGUCGAACGGUGAACCACUUCGGUGGGGAUCAGUGGCGAACGGGUGAGUAACACGUGGGCAACCUGCCCUUAGCUCUGGGAUAACCCCGGGAAACCGGGGCGUAAUACCGGAUACGACCUCGAGCGGCAUCACUCGAGGUGGAAAGAACUUCGGCUAAGGAUGGGCCCGCGGCCUAUCAGCUUGUUGGUGGGGUAAUGGCCUACCAAGGCGACGACGGGAGCCGGCCUGAGAGGGCGACCGGCCACGCUGGGACUGAGACACGGCCCAGACUCCUACGGGAGGCAGCAGUGGGGAAUAUUGCGCAAUGGGCGAAAGCCUGACGCAGCGACGCCGCGUGAGGGAUGACGGCC